UGGGGAAUUUUGGACAAUGGGCGCAAGCCUGAUCCAGCAAUGCCGCGUGCAGGAUGAAGGCCUUCGGGUUGUAAACUGCUUUUGUACGGAGCGAAAAGGUCUGCCCUAAUACGGUGGGCUCAUGACGGUACCGUAAGAAUAAGCACCGGCUAACUACGUGCCAGCAGCCGCGGUAAUACGUAGGGUGCAAGCGUUAAUCGGACUUACUGGGCGUAAAGCGUGCGCAGGCGGUUAUGCAAGACAGAGGUGAAAUCCCCGGGCUCAACCUGGGAACUGCAUUUGUGACUGUAUAGCUAGAGUACGGCAGAGGGGGAUGGAGUUCCGCGUGUAGCAGUGAAAUGCGUAGAUAUGCGGAGGAACACCGAUGGCGAAGGCAAUCCCCUGGGCCUGCACUGACGCUCAUGCACGAAAGCGUGGGGAGCAAACA
Molecule: ribosomal RNA, 427 nt
Filed under: uncultured bacterium
Lineage: Bacteria
Description: bacterial SSU rRNA
Rfam family: Bacterial small subunit ribosomal RNA
Source: RNAcentral